Molecule: long non-coding RNA, 6437 nt
Organism: Gallus gallus (chicken)
Lineage: Eukaryota; Metazoa; Chordata; Aves; Galliformes; Phasianidae
Source: Ensembl
UUUUUUUUUUUAAAUCCUCAGCUGAGCUGCUAAAAACAAUAUUCCAAGAAUGUACUUAAAGAUUUACAAUAUUUUUAGCUGUAUUGUAUUUAUGCAUUUCAAAGAAACGUUAAUUACCACAUAAGCACACAGAGAAAUACUUUCAGAGUAUUUUAUUUAUUGCAAAUUCCUCUCAUUCUACAGACACAGUGAUCAAUAAAGAAGAGAAGCAUGAAUCUUCUUUAGGACACAAAGCAGACUACUUUUAAAAAAAAUGGAAGUACAAAAUCCAGGCAAUCCUUGACCUGUGACUGUUACAGGUGAAAGUGCAAGUUAAUUAAGUUUGUGUUUGUGGCAGCCAAGUAUACACCUCCCUUCACAACAGGACAGCGCCAGGAAAAAAAAAGCAAUCCUGCUGAAACAACAUGUGCUAGAGCUAUUUCACUGCAUGCUGGUAGACACCCCUACCCCGAGGCUUUCUUCCUCUUGGCCACUGGACUCCCACUGAAUGAUGGGGAAAAGUAAAAAGUUGCCUGCGCCUGCUUUCUGUUGGACAAAGCGCUGAAGUUACAAGCAAUGCUGACAAUAUUUUUCUUAAAUAACAGAAUAACUGGAGCUUGAAAUUAAAGUGUGGGGAAUGUGAGAGCCUCCAAAGGGAAGCAGAGGAGAAAUAUAGAAGGAUCUGGCUUCCCACAACAAUUCUCACACUUCUAAAAAUACAUAAGGCUGCCUCGCUCUGUGAGCCCAACACUUAACAUACACUUCAGAUGAGAUAUGCAGCACCUGGCUGCCUUAACACCUUUGUCAGCUCAUUACCAGAUAUCUAAUGCAUUUUUAUUUCACUUUUGCUGCUGUUAAAAUUUAGGCCAUGAGGGGACGAUCCUCUCCAAGGCACUGCUUUUUAUCCUAUAGCCUCCUUGCCAUUUUGGACAAGAACAUGUUAUGAAAGAGUAUCUUUGAAAUAAAAAAUAAAAUGAGAGCCAGUCGGUAGCCAGGCAGCACAGAUGUCUCCAUAAGCAGUUCACAACUGAUGGUCAUCAAUCAUCCUAGAAGAGCUCAAACACAUUCAUAUAUAUCACACAGAGACACUCAUUAUUGAAAGGUCACUUUGUGCCCCUCCCCCCAGCAUAACAAAGCUUGUCAAAGUGAGGUGUUAACAGAAGAUGUGAGAAUAAAUUAUUAAUCUUAGAUAGCCAACAUAUGUUGUUCAAAUCUGGAAAAUGCCCUGAGCACACCUAUAUCAGUUAGGAUAUUUUUCUGACACAGCUACUCAGGCCUCCAAGCCCUGAGAGUGAACCUACAUUGCCAAACAAGGGCAAAAGUUCAGCACCAGCAAAGAAAGAGUAAAUCAUCAAUAUGACUUCCAAGACACCUGUGGUUCCUUUUCCUUUCCAAAACCAGCAAGGAGAUCAAGACUCAUGCAAUUUAAAAAAUGGUACUAGCAGAGCUACGAGGUCUUUACCACCUCUCUAAAGUCAUUUUAACCAAUGUAACUCUCUCUCUUUACAGAUGCAGACCACUUUUUUUUUUUUUUCCCCUAUUUAAAUCUUAAAAUGCUGUGAGUAGCAGCCUGGAGAAUAUACAACAAAUGUAUUUGAAACAGCUUAGAAAAUACAGGUACUUUCUGCAAAUGAUAAUCUGAUUCUAUCUGCUGUCCCACCUGAGGACAAGUGAGUGAGCAGCUGUGCGGGGCUGAGCUGCCUUCUGGGGUUAAACCACAACAAUGGCACUGUCAAAAAAAAUUAGAUUUGUUUGUUUUAAAGUGACUACCACAACAUCAGAGAGAGAUCUUCACUCUCAGGUCUUUUGCUAUGCGUUUAUAUAUUCCAUGUUACAUGCACUCAUGCAUUCUCCAAAAGAACACCAGAGAUCACCAAGUCUUCUCUACACUUUUCACUCUCUAAUCCAAUAGCACUCACCACAACCUUCCCUUUAGUAUUUCCCCAGUUCUCUUCUCUUUAAGCUGACAAGCCAGUUUGCAUUUUCCAGAUUACAAAAACACCGAAUUACAUUAUAGAUUCCAGAGAGAUGUUGAGAACCAAAUGACAUUUCGCUAGAGGGCAAAACAUUUGUAGCCUUACACAAACACUUCAUAAUCAAACAAUUGCUUUAACACGCUUGACUCAGGUUAUAAGUUGUAUGAAAUCUAAUAUAUCACAUUGCCAGUACAGAUACAGGAACUAUGCUCCUUGUUUUUUACAUCACUUUUCAGAAUCAUUUCUUUACUUCAUUAGAGAGCACAGGUCACUGGAGCCUAAUGUGAGCAGGCUGCAAAUAUGCCAUGUGCCAAAACGCAACAAAUCACAGCAUGCACUGCUUCACAAUUUUACUUCUAAGUAUAUUGUAAAGCUUAUCAAUGAUUUUUUUAUUAUUAUUACUAGAAAGUAAUGGUUUCUCUACCUGUAGCAAUUAUUUCCUUCACUGAGAGUGAAGUGCCUCAGUAUCUUGCAAAACCUAGCAAAGUGCCUAGGCUAUGCAUGCAUGUAAUACAAAUAUCACAUUCAUAGGUCCAAUUAUUCCACAACUGUAAUGUGAAUUAACUUUAUAAUCUCUUAUCUAAUGGUAUACUACAAACACAUGGAAACAAGACAUGAUUACAGACUACCUCCCCCCGUGCUUGUGUUAAAUGCUCAACACUAUUCAUAAAAGCAGAAGCCUUUUUGUUACCUUGAUUCUUUAAAGUUAUCAUACUCAAUCCUUUGAAAAGGUUACUGCUGUUUAUGUUAUCCAUGAAUAGUGUUCCAGAAAGAAUGAAUAUGUCUAUGGCCUGCUCCAUGUUCAUGCAAAGUUCCAGACCUGUUGGUGAAAAACAAAGUACUGCUCGCUGCACAAAUUUUGGGGUGUGCGUAUUAAUCAAAUAGGAGUGGAAGGAAUAGUUAGUCUCAAACUAGAAAGUAACAUUUGUGGAGGCAGCAUUAAACUACAUGUCAAUAAAACGUCUAUAAUCACAUGAGAGAUGCAGUGAGUGCACAUGCACUGUAUAACAAGAAUAAUGAUCCCACACAAGAUUUUCCUUUUUAGCAUGGAGGCACUCACCUAACCAGAAAGGCAACAGCUAAAAGUGGUAUUAGGCCUUAAUUAACAGAUUUUGCCUUUAAUUAACCUGAUUUUGCUUUCAUCACAUUAUUUUAUACCAUUACAACCAACAAGCAAACAUUAAACUAUCAAUUUGUGUUUUGCAAAGUGUUGGAAUAAAUAUUUACAUGUAAAGUUUCCUCAAAUCAACACGGCCAGUACUCAACAAUAUAGGGCUGCCUUGCACAGAUACAUUUAUUGGGGUUGUGGAUACCUCCAAUGCUGGAUUUGGCAUACAAACUAUAACCUGCAGUUUUCUGCUGUUCUGUGCUCAGUGUACUUUUGUAAAUGUUGUUUCCACUUGCAAUACAUCCACCCAUUCAUAGCUGAAAUAAACAAAGAAAUACAGACUUUGAGAAAGUUUUUCCCCAUUAAGACUUCUCAAUUUUUCACCAGGUCUUCCUGACAUUUUAGACCAGCAGAGGCAUCCAUUCAGCCAUCGAUACACAAGCACAGUAUAUGAAGUACAGUACAGAGCCUGCAGAGGAACACUUUCUUUUUUUUAAUCACAGUAGACAAAGAAAAGAGUUCCUCCAGAUAAGCUAAUCUUUCUUCCUGAUAACAGAAGCCUAGCAAAGCCAGCCAACAAAACUGGAUCCUCAGGUUAUACACAGUCCCUUAAACUCAGGGGUUUUUUAGCUUAUGUACAAGGAGAUCCAGCUCUGAAGUGAUAUCUGUAGUUACAUGUAAGAAAAUACUAAUUAGCCUUUUGUAAAAGUGUCUUAGGUGUGCGUAACCUAUACUCUGUACACACAAAAAUCAGUUUACAUUCACUUCUGAGUGAAAGCAACUUUAUCACACUACAGAGCAAAGUGAUAGCUCUUCUCAUCUUUUCCCACUCCUUCUACAUGUGAAUAACAAAGCACUAUGUUUCAUAAUUCCCUAAAAGACUGAUGGCUCCAAUUUAAACCAAAGAGAAAGUGGUUGCACUGAUACUGGACUUCAAGAGAUGAAGUUUGUGUGAUAUGAGAACAGAAAUGUUCAAGUAGUCUGUUCCAAAUUUAAACAAAGUGGUUUUACCAUGAUUUUCAAUAUGAGUACUGACUUCUCAAUCUAAAUUAUAUACUUGUGCAUUUUGCUUAAUAAUAUGAAAUCGCAGGCAUUUGCUUCAGCUUUUUAAACUACCUAACAAAAAGCAGUUAAUUGUGUUACAUCACUAUGAUAAAAAAUAGCAACAAGAAGCAUAAAUGUUUGUUACUUUUACAGCUGACAGCUUUGACAAAGAAAGAAGUCUUAAAUCUGCAGAGUGUUUGUACAACUGCCUAAAUUUGCAGAAGAUCCAUGUUUUAAUAGGUUAAUCUUUAUUAUUAAAUAUCUUAUAUGAUAGAAGUACAACCAUCUGUAGUGGCAGACAAGAAAUUCUGCUUUUCUAGGCAGUGUAGAUUAGGGAUAUAGAACAGCUUUCAAAACGAACACUUGGCCCCAGUCAGUAAAUUGGUUUUACUUACUUUACUGUGCUCUGACAGAACUCUUCCCAGUUCGUUUUAUUCCUCAAAGCUGACAGGAUCAGCUUUUGGUUUGCACUAAGUGAAUCGCACCUCCCUUUGUUCCACUUUGGUGGCUUAUCUGCAGGUAUAUUAUUUUCUCUGAUCCGAUAUCAAAUGAAGCGAAUGAAAUACAGCUCUUCAUCAGUCUCCUUACUGAGGGCAAAAUUUCAGAUGCAGAAUAAACAAUGACUGCAUGACAUAAUGGGGCCUUCAUGCAUGACACAGCUAAACCAAAACUGAAUCAAAGCAAAAUAUAUCUUUAUCCAACCAUAGCUGGAAACAGGAAAUUUUUCUCAGAAAACAAGAACAGCAUAUUAAUCAUCCUGAAAUCAAUGGAAAAGUUUAAAAAGAUACUCUUCUGACUCAAAUAUUUUAAUCUUUAGGAUGAUUUCUAGUUGAUAUACGUAAGUUAUACAAUUACACCUCCUGCACAAAGUCAGACUACACGAGAGGAUCACAAGGGUCCAUUUUCAAUGGGUUAUCCAUGAAAUACUGAAGGUACCAAAGUAUGGUUUUAUGCAGCAUUUAGAGGCUUUUGAAGCAAGAGAACAACUCCUUUCAUCCUGGAAGGCUUUAGUAAAAGGUCAUCAGCUUGAAAGUCAAUGGCUAUUUUAAUUCCUCAAUAUAUACAUGUUAACAUUCGGAAAGUUUAUGUAUGUAGCAUUUAAUUUUCAGAAUCCGUAGCAAUCUGCUGCUUAUACCAAAUACUUCGUAUUUGUACGUAUUCAGAAACUCAUUAAUAAGAAACUACAGUAAUGGGUCACAGUAGUCUGCAUGAAUUGACAUAAACAAGUCUGAUUCGUACAUAAGCUAUACAUAACAUACUAACAAUUUUAAAAUCACCUGGCAGUUCAGAACCCAAAGUAUUGAGGCCUAACAUUACUUUAGUCCCUCAUUCAUUUGUUUUUAGAAAGAAUUAUGAAAAAUAUAAUGAUUUUUGUUCCUAUUGGUUUCAUGUAAGAUAUUACACAGCUCAAUGUUAAAUCUUUACUUCAUUGGCCUACCAACCUUCACUUCAGUGACCUAACAAUCCUGUCACAAACGACUGCUAUUAGAGAAAAACAUUAAAACUGCCAGCAUUCACAGACUACUGUGGAUACAGAGCAUUCUAAGGAGAAGUUAAUACAAUUCACAGUUAAUACCCUCUAUUUUACGCCAUUUGUUUUUUUCAGGAUUGUACCUUAAAGCCUUCAAUCAGGGUUACACCUCUAAAGCCUUAGCAUCACAAAGUCUGACUUUUCUCUGGAUUUUCCUAUGGAGAACUUCCUGUUCUUCUAGACCUAACCACCCUUCUUAAAGCAUUUUUUUUUCCAAUGUUUUAUUACUGCUGAAUGUGAUUCAAAAGGGGCCCAUCUGCUCUGGCUAUAUCAUCAAGAGAGUUCUGCACUUUCACACAGCUGCUGAGCUUUUUGUCCCCACGCAGAAGCUGGAAUUGCUCCACUCGCCCCUCCUUGCACAGAAAUGACGUAAAGUAACUGAUAGAUCCAAAAAACUUUUGCAAGUUUCUUUCUAUACUGACGGCCUAUCUAUACAGCAAAUUCUUCUCCCCACCUCCACCCCUACCCAGCUCCCUUUUCAUAUGGACAUUAUGUGUUCCCUUAAUAAAAAGGCACCAUAAAACUUGAGAGAGUGGUUUUGCAAUGGAAAGAAAAAAGAAAUCCUAUCAAAUACAUUCACCUUAUUUUAAAUUCCAUUAAACUGUUCAAGAAGCCUGAAGGGGUGAUUAAUUCAAUUAAAAUCUGAUGACUGCUGAAGCACUUUCUUCAGGAUUUUUAACAUUUCGUGAAAUUUUAAAGUGAUUUAACCUCUAUUUAAUUCUGUAAAUACUAAAAGGUAACUAUCUGCAAGCAUAGCUUUGAAGUUCACAUAUACCAUAAACCAAACGAAAAUACUUGG